RNAcentral lists this ribosomal RNA (497 nucleotides) under uncultured bacterium. Its description in RNAcentral is "partial 16S ribosomal RNA". It matches the Rfam family "Bacterial small subunit ribosomal RNA", at positions 28 to 507 of the family's 1533-position model. The record is from RNAcentral.
GAUGAACGCUGGCGGCGUGCCUAAUACAUGCAAGUCGAGCGAACAGACGAGGAUCUUGCUCCUCUGACGUUAGCGGCGGACGGGUGAGUAACACGUGGAUAACCUACCUAUAAGACUGGGAUAACUUCGGGAAACCGGAGCUAAUACCGGAUAAUAUAUUGAACCGCAUGGUUCAAUAGUGAAAGACGGUUUUGCUGUCACUUAUAGAUGGAUCCGCGCCGCAUUAGCUAGUUGGUAAGGUAACGGCUUACCAAGGCAACGAUGCGUAGCCGACCUGAGAGGAUGAUCGGCCACACUGGAACUGAGACACGGUCCAGACUCCUACGGGAGGCAGCAGUAGGGAAUCUUCCGCAAUGGGCGAAAGCCUGACGGAGCAACGCCGCGUGAGUGAUGAAGGUCUUCGGAUCGUAAAACUCUGUUAUUAGGGAAGAACAAAUGUGUAAGUAACUAUGCACGUCUUGACGGUACCUAAUCAGAAAGCAACGGCUAACUACGUG